UACGAAGGGGGCUAGCGUUGCUCGGAAUUACUGGGCGUAAAGGGUGCGUAGGCGGAUAGUUUAGUCAGAGGUGAAAGCCCAGGGCUCAACCUUGGAAUUGCCUUUGAUACUGGCUAUCUUGAGUAUGGGAGAGGUGUGUGGAACUCCGAGUGUAGAGGUGAAAUUCGUAGAUAUUCGGAAGAACACCAGUGGCGAAGGCGACACACUGGCCCAUUACUGACGCUGAGGCUCGAAAGCGUGGGGAGCAAACAGG
This 253-nucleotide ribosomal RNA is filed under the name uncultured bacterium. Its description in RNAcentral is "partial 16S ribosomal RNA". It matches the Rfam family "Bacterial small subunit ribosomal RNA", at positions 524 to 776 of the family's 1533-position model. The record is from RNAcentral.